RNAcentral lists this transfer RNA (77 nucleotides) under marine sediment metagenome. Its description in RNAcentral is "tRNA-Arg". It matches the Rfam family "tRNA". From Rfam's summary of the family: Transfer RNA (tRNA) molecules are approximately 80 nucleotides in length. The record is from RNAcentral.
GCGCCCGUAGCUCAGCUGGACAGAGCGAUCGGUUUCUACCCGAUAGGUCGGGGGUUCAAAUCCUCCCGGGCGUGCCA